CCUACGGGAGGCAGCAGUGGGGAAUAUUGGACAAUGGGCGAAAGCCUGAUCCAGCAAUGCCGCGUGAGUGAUGAAGGCCUUCGGGUCGUAAAGCUCUUUUACCAGGGAUGAUAAUGACAGUACCUGGAGAAUAAGCUCCGGCUAACUCCGUGCCAGCAGCCGCGGUAAUACGGAGGGAGCUAGCGUUGUUCGGAAUUACUGGGCGUAAAGAGUACGUAGGCGGUUAUUCAAGUCAGAGGUGAAAGCCCGGGGCUCAACCCCGGAACUGCCUUUGAAACUAGAUAACUAGAGUCUUGGAGAGGUUAGUGGAAUUCCGAGUGUAGAGGUGAAAUUCGUAGAUAUUCGGAAGAACACCAGUGGCGAAGGCGACUAACUGGACAAGUACUGACGCUGAGGUACGAAAGCGUGGGGAGCAAACAGGAUUAGAUACCCUGGUAGUCCACGCCGUAAACGAUGAUAACUAGUUGUUCGGUCACUUGGUGACUGAGUGACGCAGCUAACGCAUUAAGUUAUCCGCCUGGGGAGUACGGUCGCAAGNUUAAAACUUAAGGAAUUGACGG
Molecule: ribosomal RNA, 560 nt
Filed under: uncultured bacterium
Lineage: Bacteria
Description: bacterial SSU rRNA
Rfam family: Bacterial small subunit ribosomal RNA
Source: RNAcentral